RNAcentral lists this long non-coding RNA (1884 nucleotides) under Sus scrofa (pig). RNAcentral describes it as "lncRNA (ENSSSCG00050022004.1)". The record is from RNAcentral. Lineage: Eukaryota; Metazoa; Chordata; Mammalia; Artiodactyla; Suidae.
UUUUUUUUUUUUUUUAAAGGGCUGCGCUUCAUAUGGAAGUUUCCAGGCUAGGGGUCGCAUUGGAGCUACGGCUGCCGGCCUACACCGCAGCCACAGCCAUGUGGGAUCCAAGCAGCAUCUGUGACCUACACCACAGCUCACGGCAACGCCAGAUCCGUAACCCACUGAACGCAGCCAGGAAUCGAACCUGCGUCCUGGUGGACCCUCGUUGGGGUGUGUUUCUGCUGCGCCACAACCGCAACUCCGUGGUGAACUUUAUCAUCGUUUUCCUGAGACAUACUUUCUUUGAGUUGCCUUCAUUGUGCGCUACGAGUUGUUCAGAUGCCAGAGUCAGAUACCACACAGCACGUAUCCGAGUCUCGUGAGGAAUGCGGAAGCUGUAAUGCACGUGAUCCCCGUCUCCCAGGAACAUGGGCUCUGGUUUGGGAAUGUGGGCCUGGGAUGCCUCCCGAACAUUCUGUCUCCGCGUGCGACACUGACGGGGCUUCCAGACCCGUGACCAGGACACCGUGUGAGCAGAUGUCCCCUCUGUGCUGGGGGCCAGCUCUGCGGGAAGUUACUUUACUCCAAAGGCCACAGCGGGCCUCCGUCCCCGUCAGGUCUUCUGGGACGGGCCUCAUCCUUUCCUUCUCGUCAAUGUGACCAUUUCUUACUUGUUUUUAUUGGAUACACUGUCAGAUUUAGUUCUCGGGAUUAACUGAGUACAAGAGAAGUAAUUUUCUAAGCAAACAAACUCCAGUGCCGAUGGCACGAAGAGAAAAUCUGCCUUACACUGGGGGUUUUAAUCCAGCACCAAAGCGGCAAUUGCAGAGGGUCAAUGUUGAGGCCACUAGUAAACUUUUCCGAUUUCUCUUGACUGCAGUGAUGGGAACCGCAGUGAGUUAUUUGCCUUAUACACUGUUUGCAAAGCUGGAAAAGAAAUAGGUAGUUUCUGGUCUCUUUGCCAGUAGCAUAAAUAAAUCAAUCUUGAAACAUUCUUGGACUUCUGCAUGAAGGUUGUGUCACUUGAUUUAAUGCUCAGAAGUUGGUUAUUUGGGCAAGGAGAAGCAAAUUCUCUCAGAAAUCGAGGUAAUAAAAAUUCGAGUGUCUAGAAAAGCCAACCGAAUCUGCAUUAAGUAUUUACCGUAGAGGCUUGGAGUCCACUCGGAGCCACAGCUGCCGGCCUACACCACAGACACAACAAUUCGGGAUCCGAGCCGCGUCUGUGACCGUCACCACAGCUCACGGCCACGCCGGAUCCUUAACACACUGAGUGAGGCCAGGGAUUGAACCCACGUCCUCAUGGAUGCUAUCGGGUUCAUUGACCGCUGGGCCCCGACGGGAAUGCCGAAGCUCUUAAAUCGGUUGUUCAGAUGCCACUCUGCACAGUUGGAGCUGUGUAUGCUUGGGCCAGUCGCCUGGCUGUUUGGCCAACUUUAUCACAGUUACUGUGCAGAUUAAAGAAAUUAAGAUAUGCAAGGCCUUAUAACAGCCCUCUGUCGUUAUCAUAAAAUUAAUUGGUGGAAAGCAUGAGUAAUAAUAAAGAUAAUGUAUUUAUUUGUAUGAUUCAAACAUUCAAGGACCCAAUGAAACAGAAAGAUAAACAAAGCCAGUGGUAUAGUCUAAAGAACGUGCUUGGAGUUCCCGUGGUGGUUCAGUGGUUAACGAAUCCGACGAGGAACCAUGAGGUUGCGGGUUCGAUCCCUGGCCUCGCUCAGUGGGUUAAGGAUCUGGCAUUGCCGUGAGUUGUGGUGUAGGUCACAGACGUAGCUCGGAUCUGGUGUGGCUGUGGCUCUGGCGUAGGCCGGCGGCUACAGCUCCGAUUAGACCCCUAGCCUGGGAACCUCCAUAUGCCGCAGGAGCGGCCCUAGAAAAGCCAAAAAAAAAAAAAAAAAAAAAAAAAAA